CUCGCUCACCCGCCUGACGGCAUUUUGUCACCGCUUCCCAGGACACGCUACUUCCUCACCCAGUCUGCGGUGUUUAUUCCUUGUCUGCCUAAUCCUCCUCUUAAAACGCCUUUUUUUUGCACCGCCAGGCUUCCUGAACGGCACUGGUUAUGUCACUCCGGGUAUGCCUUCGGCUAUCUAUUUCCUCGGGAAAUGCCACAUCACCUGGAAACUUUGUAUUUUCCCUGUCACAAAAUAAAGCUUACGGUAAUGAAUUUUUUACUUCUGUCAACUUCCUUAUGUCCUUGAGAGGCUCCAGCUGCAAAAUGGAGCCCAAAGACAGACUUCUCAAAAAGCGCAGAUUAACUGGCUCCACGGGCUCCCACAGCCAGGGGGAUGUGACUAUCACAGGCACGCUGCACAGGAAAGGCUGUGCCAAAGUUAUGGAACUCGAAGAGUUCAGCAGUGACUGUAUUCACAUCUAGACAUUUACUUUUCUUUUGUCCCACAGUGUGGCAUAACCUGAAUUUGUAGCAGGCUACCGUGAACGCACAAAUAAGCAUGUCUGUGAAAAGUGGGAGCACUGAAGUCUGGUUUUCUGGCAUCCUGCCUGCCUGUGGACCCACGGAAAUCCCAUGAAACGGCGUGGGGAUUCAGCUCGUCCUGCAGCCUCUCCUCCAACCGAGGCACUAGCGGAGUCUCUUGCUUCAAGCCAGACGCCUCCUUUCUAGAAGCUCCCAGGACCUUAGCAAUGCUGAGGUCUUUAUCCCUCAGCUAGUUUGGCUGAAACUAGCCAACCACUUCAAAAGUUUCUGAGGGGAGAAGGAAUGACACGCAGGCAGACAGACACUCAUGCAGAUGGACAGUCACAGGCUAAAAAUGGGGGGAGAUAAAUCAUUUGUGUUGUGCGAAUUUGCUCUCAAUCACCUCACCGAUCUUUUCUCCUCCGCUUUACAAUCUCUGCUUUGCAGUCGCUGGCUGCUCACCCUUGAUGCACACUAAGACAAAUCUUACCAGCUUUUUUAGCCUCCUGGCAGUCAUUUGCCUAGGAAGAUUUCUCUCCUACCCCUCUUCCUGGUAAAUUCAUAUUACAGUAGCCACUGAGAAAAGCUGCGAAAAGUGACUGCUGAGUGUACCCAGGCUCCAUCUGUUGCUCUCAGCAAGUCCCAGGAAAGUAUUGACAGGCUUAAUUUGCUCCGAAAGACCGCUGAAAUCCGUGAGAUUCAUCUGAAGCAGCCUACGCCCUGCGAGUGUGCAAACCCAGGAAGCAUCCCAAGAGCCUUACUCGGGACCGUGUUCCACUAAGCACAGCCCCAGAGUCGCUGCGACAUGGCGAUGCUGAAAUCAGUGCAGGAAGCCCCAGGGGGCCACUGAGGGGACCCCGGUCAGCGGGAAGGGGACAGCUAGGUCAGCUUGGGCAGAGCUUCACCUCGGCUUGCCUACUCCCAGAUAGCUGCUUGGCCAAUGCGGUUUUCCAGGGUGUGGAUCUGGCCAAGCAUCUCAUGGACACACCGGUUUGGGCUGGGAUCGUGCCAUUGCUCUUUCUCCCCGAGGCAGAGGUGCUCUGGCAACGCCGGGGUAGCAAGAACCGACCCCACAGCGGGAGGCAGAGAAACAACCCCCAUUAGGUACCAGCUUUGCUUCCUAGGGCUUGUUAGUGCAGUUAAAACAUCGCGAGCGCAAAACAGACUGCAUGCCCAGAGUAUCGUACAAGACCUCCUCUAUCAGCCCAGUGCGAAUUUGCUGCUCUCAUGGGAAAAAUCAAAGGGCCCAGGGCAGCAGACAGGCUGUUAGCAAGCUACAGAAAUAGUGAGCGGCUGAUGUCUAGACUCAGGAAAGGAAAUUCCUGUCCGUGUUUAGAAGAGCCGCACACGUACACAUACAAAUAAAAAACAGGAAGGCAUGCGCUGCUGUAGUCUUUGAUAGCGGCCCAAGGGAAACGGUGUAAUUUGGUAGAAGAAGCAAACAAGGCAUCUACUUAGAUAUAACCUGUCAGGCCUACUAAGGAGGGUGCUUUGACAGACAAGUCUUAGAGAAACCAGAUCCGGCACAGCAGCACGGAACUCCCUCCACAACAAAUGGAGGGGACAAGGCCCUGGGAGAGACCCCAGACAUAUCAAACAGCUCAAUAUCUCUUAACGGGAGCCUAGAAAGCUGCAAGUUGUCAUAUCAGCUGAGAAAGAUGCAUAUUUGGAGCCGUUAUAGCUCCUAUCUUUCGGCCUGGGAGCCCAUCUGUGUUCUGAUACAUUAAUCUCCCUUUGAGAAGGGAACUGGGUGACAUGUGCAUACUCACAAGACCCUACAAAGUUCCUGGCCCAGACAUAUUUAUCACAUUAUAAAAGACCUGUAGAAGUGCCAGUUUUGGUGAGUACUAUGUAAUGUGGUUCCAACCACAGACUUUAUUUUUCCACCACCAUGAGGACAACAAUCUCUCUUAUCCAAAAUAAAUAAAUAAAUAAAUGAGAAGCGUCAAGCGGCUGCAAAUCAUACUGACCUGUUUCUUUAAUUAAUAGCAAUACAAGCUUUUUUUUUUGCUUCCCCCCAAGAUAUUUGCUACUAGACUGGAGGGCACCCUGCUCCAUUUAGGAAAGACCAGAACAGAUUCACAAAGACUUGCCAGGCCUCAGACAUUAUGUGAUCUGAAUGUAAUUUCUCCACCCAGUCAACAAACACUCUAUUUUUAUUAAUUUCAUAAGAGGCUAGUAGGGAGGGAGGGAAGGAGGGAGGAGGGAGGGGAGGAAAUGCCCUUUGACCAAGCAGAAUGCCAGAGCUCAGUGAAUUGUUACUAGCACAAUAUGCUAAAACUAAAGCUGGGCCAUGUCUUUUCAUUUCACAGCAAACCUAGCCUUAGGACUGGAAAACAAGAUUUCUGUUCCACUGGGCUGGCACAACAGCAUUAGACAAUUUAAGGCAGGAAGCGAAGAAGAAAUUACCAAUGAGAUGUCAGGGGAAUAUAAAGUAAAGCAUCUUUCUUUUGUAAAAGAAGAGAGUUGGGACAAUAACUCUGCCCUUGCACAUCACUAGGCUGUCUUCUGGCACACUCAAGCCAGGGCCAGCCAUUCUGGCUGGCCGGACCACCACGACAGCCCCCUCCCACAGACAAGCUCCAUGGGCAAGUAGGAGAGGGCAGCUGAGAGCACAGACUGGUGCCCACUGGGACCCUGGAUGCACAAAGUAUGGCCAGCACUCUUAGAAUGCCAUCACAGCAAUGCCUACAGCUCUUGGGCAAAAUUGGGAGAGUCUGAGUGGAUCCUAAGGAAAAAUAAAGGUCGGGAGAAAGAGGCUGCCGCCCUCAUGACAAUUCGUACUCUCCACAACCUGUUGCUCCACUGGCCCCAAGUAAAAGAGUGUCUGUGAGCAGACCAGGGGCUACUUAGCUUGGAACAGUGAGCUCUGUGCAUCCAAGCAGCCUUGUCGUAAGCAUUUCUCUUGUGCCUGGUGUCUCACCUUCUUCCCAGCUCCACAGCAGAGCCUCACUGCAAAUUUUUGAUAGAGGCCGGGAAUCAAUGCUUGCUCCUUAAAUGACCUUCCUUGGCCGAAGAACUGUAUAUCAUGGCUCUCCUUCCUUACCUUGCCCCCAGACAACUGCCUUUUUGGUCCACAUUUGAAAAUUUCCCAAGGACCCUGCAGUGUUCCCACCUUACCAGAAGAGACUGUGAAGAAGAUGAGUGUGCACGUCAUCCAGCCAUAUCCAUGGUAAUACAAGUUGUACUUAAUCUCAGUCUAUCCUGCCGUUUGCCUCCCACAUAAAAGAGGCUUUUUGCCUGAGCACUUGUUCAAGGCAAGUCUUUUGGUUCAGAGUGUGGGUCACUAAGUGAAAUGUCAUAGCCUACACUAUGCAGGAGAUGAUACUAAUGGAUCCAAUUGUCCCUUUUCACCUUAAAUUUGCUAGAUCCUGCACCUCUGGUUACAUCUAUAUGGGUCAAAGGAGAGAGAUUUCAGGUAGCUCAGCUACCCAAAUCCUCAUUAACAUGUCUCCUGAUUAAAACACCAUAGCAUUAUAUGUGCAUGACACAGAAGAUAAUCCACUUUCUGUAAAUGACAGUUGAUAUAGGACAAUAUAUUCCCCUUUUGUCUGGUCCCCCAAGCUUUCUCUCUGAGAGAUUCCUAUCUGAGAGCUAAUGCCACGGUUGCACUCUUCAGUGAUGAAGAGUUACACAAAAGGGAUUUCAAAUACCAUAAACCAUAAGCCAUAAACCACCUCCUUGGAACCAAUUCCUAGGAGCAGAAGGCUUACACUGCUUGCCAAAACUUUUGUCCAGCAUGGAGAGCAUUCAGCAGGCGCUAAAACUUACUGGGUGAUUUUUUUUCCUGCACCCAAGCAGUUUGCUAUGAAGUUCUACACUGAACAGCUUCCCUCUCUGUUGUAAGACAGAUGAGGUCACCAGAAUUACGGUAAAUACCGAGCCCAGAAAAACUGCAUUUCAUGUUGGUCCAUUGUGCUUUUUACUUGUUAAUUCUGCUCAUGUAGGUGACAGUGACUAUUGAAUAAUUUCAAGACUCUGCAGACACAGACUAAUCAAAAGCUUGUAGAAAUCUGUCAGAAGCAUCCUACUGAUGCCUUGGGCCCCUAUCGUACCCUAUGUAAUUACACCCUGUUUGGAACAUUCAAAGCCAGCUAGUAAGGAGAAAGCAAGAAUGCACCUGAAUAAAGAAACACACAAUCUGUUUAUUUUCUUCCUUCUGUCCUUGUAUCAUAUUCAUUUGUUAAUGGGUAAAAUAUUUUUGCAGUCCCUUAAAUUCCACAUUCUGUGUUUCUUAAAUUUUUUUAACUAUACGGUGCAGCCAGGUGGUGAACCAAUAACAUUUUUCACCUCAGUUGACACAAUUAAACACUAUGAUUUUCAACCACCGAGAAAAGUUGGCUGGUUGAGUAAGGGCAGUUUGACAACUGAGAUAUUUAUGUACAGCCAAAAUGAGAUAGUGCCCUAUAUUUUAAACAGUUCAAGUCAGAGGAGAAAAAUGUAAAAUUGGUUCCUAGAUAAUAAUGCCUAAUCUUUGUUUUUAUGGCACAUUGCUGUGCAAUUAAGGUUGGCUCGUGAAAGCUGUGCGUGAGCACACUUAAAUUGCUGAAUAGCCUCAUAGAUGGCAGGAAGGAAAAUAAAUAUUCUACUGUUUAUACUUUCUGAAGUAAAAUCUUCGAGAUAAACAGUGUGUCAGGCUGACAGGUGUGACUACUUUAGCCUUCGCCUGAUGAAUUUUUCAUUCACAGCUGAGGCUGAUAGCCUGAAACUGUUGAUGGAAAAAACCCACUGUUCAGAUUUUGAUAGGAAUAUGAAUGUCUGGGUCUUAGAAGGGUCUGACUUCUGUGCAAAGAAUUACAGACACUCUGUUGUGCAGGCACGGAGGAAGGACUGGGCUGCAGCCACGCUGCAUCGGGCUGGUGUUUCACUCAAGAUGAUAACUGAGAGGAUCAAUUCCCCCCCUGGAAGUUCGUUUCUACUUAGAAGAGCAACUUUGUAAAAAAAUCUUCUUCCUGUGAGUAUUCAGUACCUACGGUGCUUACUCCAGCAACCAUAUGUGCAUUAAUUUUUGCUGCUGAUAGCACUGAAGAGCCAAUGGAGUCAUGAGCGUCAAUUCCAAAACACAAAGAAAAGGGGAUCGCAACCAAGAACAGACUGUGACCAGCAGACUCCUUACUGCCGGUGGCAAUGCUCUGCCAGCACAACUGGCAGUGCCAGCAGUAAGUAUAGGGAACGAAACAGAAAUCCUCUAGCCUUCUCCAUUUACCGCAUUUAAUCUGGGCUUGGCAAAGCCCAGUCAGCACAGAACUCCACAUUGCUAUUUUGUUUUCCAAAAGACCUGCUGUUCUGUCCACAGCACAACACAGCAGACAUAUAUAGCACUUCUAGAAGGGUGUACAUUUUAUCGUUGCUUUUUUUAAGACUGAGCUCUGUUUUCUUCUUCCUACCUGAAUUUUUCCUAAAGAUGAAUCUGCAUAAUAUCUCCUUUGAUUUGCUUGCUCAUUUCCUUAAAAACAUUAAUUAAAAUAAACAACCAGGAGGAAAGAGAUGGUGUGUCUCUAUAAGGUUAUUUGCAUAAGAUAUACUAUGCUAUAAAUCUACAUGCAUGGAACAGUCAAAAAGGCUAAAGUUCAAUUUCAAGUCCCAUGCCACAAGGAAAUGAAAUCGCAGUGUUAGUUACGUUUCCCCAAAUGAGAAAAUAUUAGGUACAAAGAGAUGCAGAGAGAGGGGGAGAAUUAAAGACACUGUUUUGCUUUCCAGAGCCAGGGAGCACCCAGCUGAGCGGGACGGGGGGAGAAGAGCUCGGAGCUGGGCACGAGGCACGGCACGGCUGGCAGCCCUGCAGUUUUCCUGCUGCCAUGAGGGCGUUCCCAGAACGUCUGAAAGCAAAACUUGGCGAGCGGUAUGGGAGCUGGAUGGAAAGGGAGAAAGACUGGGAUUAAAAAUGAUCACUUUCCAGAAAUGAAAACAAAAACCAGCCACCAAUUUCUCC
Molecule: long non-coding RNA, 6435 nt
Organism: Aquila chrysaetos chrysaetos
Lineage: Eukaryota; Metazoa; Chordata; Aves; Accipitriformes; Accipitridae
Exons: 2
Source: RefSeq, a predicted model, not a curated record